This 273-nucleotide ribosomal RNA is filed under the name uncultured soil bacterium. RNAcentral's name for it is "partial 16S ribosomal RNA". It matches the Rfam family "Bacterial small subunit ribosomal RNA", at positions 26 to 282 of the family's 1533-position model. The record is from RNAcentral.
AGAAUCAACGCUGGCGGCGUGCCUCAGACAUGCAAGUCGAACGCGAAAGUCCCCUUCGGGGGGCGAGUAGAGUGGCGCACGGGUGAGUAACACGUAGGUAAUCUACCUUUGGAUGGGGAAUAACAACCGGAAACGGUUGCUAAUACCGCAUAAUGCAGCGGCACCUAAUGGUGACAGUUGUUAAAGCGGGGGAUCGAAAGACCUCGCGUCUAAAGAGGAGCCUGCGGCGGAUUAGCUAGUUGGUAAGGUAAUGGCUUACCAAGGCUACGAUCC